This 74-nucleotide transfer RNA is filed under the name Armillaria ostoyae. It matches the Rfam family "tRNA". From Rfam's summary of the family: Transfer RNA (tRNA) molecules are approximately 80 nucleotides in length. The record is from RNAcentral. Lineage: Eukaryota; Fungi; Basidiomycota; Agaricomycetes; Agaricales; Physalacriaceae.
UUGGAUAUGAUGUAAUGGCUAACAUUGCUGCCUCUCAGCAUAUUUGUCUCGGGGUUCAAUUCCCCGUAUCCGAA